CAGAGCCACGGUAAUACGUAGGGUGCAAGCGUUAAUCGGAAUUACUGGGCGUAAAGCGUGCGCAGGCGGUUAUAUAAGACAGAUGUGAAAUCCCCGGGCUCAACCUGGGAACUGCAUUUGUGACUGUAUAGCUAGAGUACGGCAGAGGGGGAUGGAAUUCCGCGUGUAGCAGUGAAAUGCGUAGAUAUGCUGAGGAACACCGAUGGCGAAGGCAAUCCCCUGGGCCUGUACUGACGCUCAUGCACGAAAGCGUGGGGAGCAAACAGGAUUAGAUACCCCUGUAGUCCCUGUCUCUUAUACA
This 301-nucleotide ribosomal RNA is filed under the name uncultured bacterium. RNAcentral's name for it is "partial 16S ribosomal RNA". It matches the Rfam family "Bacterial small subunit ribosomal RNA", at positions 509 to 808 of the family's 1533-position model. The record is from RNAcentral.